UACGUAGGGGGCAAGCGUUAUCCGGAUUUACUGGGUGUAAAGGGAGCGCAGGCGGCGCGUUAAGUCUGAUGUGAAAACCCGCGGCUCAACUGCGGGACUGCAUUGGAAACUGGCGCGCUUGAGUGCCGGAGAGGCAAGCGGAAUUCCUAGUGUAGCGGUGAAAUGCGUAGAUAUUAGGAGGAACACCAGUGGCGAAGGCGGCUUACUGGACCAUAACUGACGUUGAGGCUCGAAAGCGUGGGGAGCGAACAGG
Molecule: ribosomal RNA, 253 nt
Filed under: uncultured Eubacteriales bacterium
Lineage: Bacteria; Bacillati; Bacillota; Clostridia; Eubacteriales
Description: uncultured Clostridiales bacterium partial 16S ribosomal RNA
Rfam family: Bacterial small subunit ribosomal RNA
Source: RNAcentral